GAUUGGAUCACUCGGCUCGUGGGUCGAUGAAGAACGCAGCGAAAUGCGAUAAGUAAUGUGAAUUGCAGAAUUCAGUGAAUCAUCGAAUCUUUGAACGCACCUUGCACUCCUUGGUAUUCCGAGGAGCAUGCCUGUUUGAGUGUC
RNAcentral lists this ribosomal RNA (144 nucleotides) under Leucocoprinus gongylophorus. Its description in RNAcentral is "Leucoagaricus gongylophorus partial 5.8S ribosomal RNA". It matches the Rfam family "5.8S ribosomal RNA". From Rfam's summary of the family: 5.8S ribosomal RNA (5.8S rRNA) is a component of the large subunit of the eukaryotic ribosome. It is transcribed by RNA polymerase I as part of the 45S precursor that also contains 18S and 28S rRNA. Lineage: Eukaryota; Fungi; Basidiomycota; Agaricomycetes; Agaricales; Agaricaceae. The record is from RNAcentral.